AAUACAUAAUGUAUCACAAAGAUGCAUGAUGUAUUUGGUGUAAAACUUCAAAACAUACUUGCCAAACCAUCAGUGCAGCACCGCCAUUUCUUUAGCUUCGUGAGUAUUACACUUCACCUACUCACCUCUGGUCUACCCACACUCCGCCUGGGUUGUUCGCAAACUUCUUGGGUGAAUCCUACAUCAACAGUUCACCUUGCUGCUUCCAGCGAAUGAGACAGAAAGUUGUAUUCCUA
Pelobates cultripes (western spadefoot toad) is the source of this 236-nucleotide non-coding RNA. The record is from the annotation of a GenBank genome assembly. Lineage: Eukaryota; Metazoa; Chordata; Amphibia; Anura; Pelobatidae.